This 440-nucleotide ribosomal RNA is filed under the name uncultured bacterium. RNAcentral describes it as "partial 16S ribosomal RNA". It matches the Rfam family "Bacterial small subunit ribosomal RNA", at positions 338 to 795 of the family's 1533-position model. The record is from RNAcentral.
CCUACGGGAGGCAGCAGUGGGGAAUAUUGCACAAUGGGGGAAACCCUGAUGCAGCGACGCCGCGUGAGUGAAGAAGUAAUUCGUUAUGUAAAGCUCUAUCAGCAGGGAAGAAAAUGACGGUACCUGAGUAAGAAGCCCCGGCUAACUACGUGCCAGCAGCCGCGGUAAUACGUAGGGGGCAAGCGUUAUCCGGAUUUACUGGGGUUAAAGGGGGGGUAGCCGGCGGUGCAAGUCUGGAGUGAAAGGCGGGGGCUCAACCCCCGGACUGCUCUGGAAACUGUACGGCUGGAGUGCAGGAGAGGUAAGUGGAAUUCCUGGUGUAGCGGUGAAAUGCGUAGAUAUUAGGCGGAACACCAGUGGCGAAGGCAGCUUACUGGACUGUAACUGACGUUGAGGCUCGAAAGCGUGGGGAGCAAACAGGAUUAGAUACCCCUGUAGUC